UCCCUUGAACUCUCUAUCCUUCCUGCAAAACUAAUCCAGUCAUGCCAAUUAUAGUUGUUUAAGAUAAAUAUAAUC
This 75-nucleotide ribosomal RNA is filed under the name Ditylum brightwellii. RNAcentral's name for it is "partial Trypanosomatid mitochondrial large subunit ribosomal RNA". The record is from RNAcentral. Lineage: Eukaryota; Bacillariophyta; Thalassiosirophyceae; Lithodesmiales; Lithodesmiaceae.